Molecule: unclassified non-coding RNA, 2637 nt
Filed under: Hevea brasiliensis (rubber tree)
Lineage: Eukaryota; Viridiplantae; Streptophyta; Magnoliopsida; Malpighiales; Euphorbiaceae
Source: RNAcentral
UGGCAAAAAAACUGAAUGUUCUACUUUAUUUAUUUGCACUCGCAGAAUGAUCUAGCAUACUUUCACGGGAGGGAUAGACAAAAAACAGCCCUAGAGCAACCAUCCUUGUGUAGUCCAUCUCUCUUAAGUUCAUAAAAAAUAAAAAGUAAAAUAAGCAGCUCUUUCACUAGCCUAUAGUUGACGUAAUUACUAACAUGCCUGUGCAAAAAUAUCUUCAGGUAUCAGAGCUCGAGCAAGAUUUCUGACAAAAUCAGCAGCUAGCUCUAGUUUGCAUCUGUUCCUGAAUCGCCUUGUAGCAUUGUAGGCUGCAAAGCGGAAGCUUUGACUUCGAAUCUCUAUAUUUUUUGGGGUUAGUACAUGAAGGGCCUGCACACUGUUCGCGCAAAGGAGGGCAGCUGCAUCAACAACAGAACAGUUCAGUGUUUCAAAUCUUUAGUAUUCACGAUCAUCUGGAACGAUAAAUUUCAAGUUCCAGACAGGAUUUUAAACCUGCAGGCUUUAUUGUAGAAAAUACUAGGUAAACCCAUCUCCUUGGGGAAUGUCACAACAGUCCCAUUUGGUCCCAUGACCCAUCUGAUAGUGUUUGAUGCAAGCUUCAGGGCAUUAGCAACCUUCUCCUGCACAAAGCAAAAGAAAAAAUUUGAUUUCCAGCUUCAUAGAGACAACAAAAAUAUUAUAUCAGACACUUGUAAUGCCUUCGCUAACUCUUCCUGAAGCUUCUUUAUUUUGUCUUCUCGCUUCCUUCUGCUGGAAGUUUGACCAAGUAUUUUUCUAAUAGCCUCAGCCUCAGAUUCCCUUGCAGCCUUCUCAACUUGUAUUCUACGUCUCUGAGCAGCGUCAGCCUUCUUUAGUUGCUGCUCCACUUCAGAAAGUUUCUCCUUUUGCUUUCUUAGUGGUGCAGGUGGUAAUCCAUUUGAAAACUCAAUUAAGUUGGCACCAUGUGCAGAGCCAUCUUUGCUUGACUGAAGGGCUCGUUGACGUGUAGUUAGCUUCAUCUCCCUCUUACCAUCCAUCAAUGUAUCAACGGAUUCCUUUUUCUGCUCAAGCUCACCCUCAGAGGCCAGAUCUUCUUCCUUGUAAUCUGUGUCCUUUGAUGCUAUGUCUAAUGUGGACUUCUUCUUCCCAUCAUUCACCAACUUUGAAGCACCAAUUUUCUCCAUGCUGGAAAGCUUCUGCUGUUUCUUGUUUGAUUCUUCAUCACCUUUAUAUCCUGCAGCAAUCUUUGGAGUUUUCAGUUUCGUCAGGUAUCGAAUCUCAUCAUCCUCAUAGAAUUCACCAAUUUCCCAGUCCAAUACACGCCUCUUGGGGAACCGCUUGCUCACAUGAACUGGUUGAGAUUUCUCCCCAUGUUUUCCUGAUGCAUUCUUCCCAGAAGUACCGUCUUUCCCAAGACUAAAACCACCUGCGGAAAAAUCCUUCCAGGGGACACCUUGCAAACCAGUCCUCUUAUGCAAAAUGGAAUGGUCUUCCUCUAAAUUCCCCUGACAAUUCUUCUUCUGCCAAGAUCUGUUUUCUGAGAAUUGAAACUUCUUAGUAGAUGCACCAUCAGUUAUUGAGUUGGCUUGAAUUGUGGGAGCGACACCACUGACCUUUAGCUUAACUUUUCUAACCUUGUUAUCAUUAACUAACACAUCUAAAAUCACACCUGACUGCUCUGAACUCUGACUUUCACCAUUUCUUCCACUAUAAAUAUUUGCACUUCUUGAGUCUGAGUCAAAGGAUUCCUUCAACUUGCUUGUGUUUUUCCAUUUAGCAGGGGCAAGGACACCUUCACUAGAGCGUUUAUUGUUAAAUGCACUUAGUCCUGCAUCAUUAUGGUAGAAUGCAUUGAAUCCUUUGCUCUCCUUGUUCCUCAUAUGGGAUUUUUCACCUUCAACUCCAGUAGAAGAAGAAACACUGGACAUACAUUGAUUGAGAUUGAACUCUUUCCUCCCAGAAUUAGCAUUGAAAUUCUCAUCACUGGAUGCCUUGCUCACAUCAUCUGAAGGUGGCGUGGUUGAUGAGGGUGAAUGUUCACAGCUGUCAAUUACUGGCUGUGCAUCAGGCUUAGGCCGGCAAGAUGUUCGGCUCCUUUUCUUCCUUACAGCACUCCUAAUGCCAUCAAACUGAGGAAGACCACAAUCUUCCAUGAUGACAAAUCCGUAAUAGCCCAGUGGCUUCCACUUAGAUCAUGAGAUAAAGAUAAACCAUAAAAACCAUGAACUCCAAAGACUCUUGAAAAUGCUUUAAGAAAAUUCGACACCAGACGUCCUCAUAGCAGAGAAGCGACAGAAGCAAGGAAAAGGAAAAGGAAAAUGAUUGAGGUACAGGGAUUUGCGGGUGGCGUUUGGUUAUAGUUAUAGCUUUACUGAUGGUUGGAUAGGUAGGAUUAGGGUUAGAGAAGGAAAGAUAACAACAAUGAUGAGAAUGAGAGAGGUAAAGGCAUAUAAGAGGACUAAUAAUCCCCUUCUCGUUCUCCAUCUUUUGGCUAUUGCCAAACCGCACCCUCUGAUUUUUUUUUUUUAAGCUGAGUUGUCUCGUCACUCCUAUGUUGGUUCGGUCACCCAACUCGGUUGAUCCGACUCAGAUAACCCAAUGGCCAGUGUCCCUCUCUCUCCUUCCUUCGUUUCUUUUAUUUCCCCUCUCCUUCGACGCACG